RNAcentral lists this long non-coding RNA (990 nucleotides) under Gallus gallus (chicken). RNAcentral describes it as "long non-coding RNA NONGGAT001578". The record is from RNAcentral. Lineage: Eukaryota; Metazoa; Chordata; Aves; Galliformes; Phasianidae.
GCCAAGUAAACAGCACAGAUUAUCUCCUGCACACUGAGAUGCCUUUCUCUGUUCACUGACGAUGGGUAAAGUUCAGGCCUCCCUUCUCCACCUCCCCUUCCUUAAUUCCAAACACUGCAGCAGGGUCACACUGAGCCCUGGUAGCAAUGCUAUCAACUUUGGCUUGAAUCUCUCCCCAAGCAAAUCACCACAAGAAAGGACAGAACAGUAAGUACAAGUAAUGAUAAUGGAAGAUCUCCUGAAAGCACAAGACCAAUGAGGACAUACACCCCAUUCAAGAGAGUGUUGGAAUAUAGCACAAAGAACAGUACCUCUUGAGCGUUCAAGUCAGUGUGCUUUCUAAAUACAAACAAGUAUUUUGCGCCUUUGCAGCUUGAUUAGAUAAAUUUUUAUCAAGUCAUAGAGAAGAACAGCAGCAUGGAGUCUUGCUAAAUUUAUCCUGAAAGCAGCUUUUUAGUAGCUUCCUAUCUGAAGUUACUACCGACAUUAACUGUGAGAGAGAUAGGCAAGAAGUGGGAUGAAUGAAACGUCAGUCUAUAUUGCUUCUUUAGAAGCUGUCUAGUGCAAUGUGUCAUUUCAAAUACCUACAAGGAAGGGGUUGUAUAGAUGUACAGAUUUUCUUCAAAUGUGUUCUAAUUCUGUUUGUACAAUGAAUCUCUAUUUUAUUUUCAAUACUACUAGAAACAGAAUCUAAAACUACCUUGGCAGGGGGCAUUAAUCUCAAAGCUCCUCCUUUGUGUACAGAGAUUGAGAGCUGUUCAUACUUACCAUAGAGACCUGCGGUGACUGAGGGCCCCAUUCACACAGAACAAGGUGACUAGGAGCCAGCAUUCUCUUACUGAGAGGGAGAAAUGCAACUGGGAUCUUCUCAGGAAAUUCCCUCUACGCGUGCAGAUGAAUGUUGUGUUUGUUGCUCAAAAUAUUAAGCAAUAUAGCAGCUUUAUGAUGGAUUUUGCUUUGUUGGAUGAAUAUGCAGUUUGUACUUCCUAG